This is a long non-coding RNA of Papilio machaon (common yellow swallowtail), 249 nucleotides long. RefSeq lists it as uncharacterized. NCBI's taxonomy places the organism in Eukaryota, Metazoa, Arthropoda, Insecta, Lepidoptera, Papilionidae. The transcript is spliced from 4 exons. The record is from RefSeq and is a predicted model, not a curated record.
UAAGAAAAUCGGCCAUUUUGAAAUAGCUGUCACGUUUGGCGCGUGAAUUAUACAAUAAAAAAAAUGUUUAAGACUUUUGUUAUAUUAAUUGCAGUUUUAUCAGCAUGUUUAGUUGAGGCGCAUACUUCCAGACGAUUUCCAAAUGAUGAUCAAGAAAUAGUUUGUACAAAAGAGGCCUGCGGACCAAAUUGUGGAGGAGACUGCUGUUGUUUAGUACCAAAACAGAAAUCAAAAAGAUCUGUUCCUUCG